Molecule: long non-coding RNA, 466 nt
Organism: Tripterygium wilfordii
Lineage: Eukaryota; Viridiplantae; Streptophyta; Magnoliopsida; Celastrales; Celastraceae
Exons: 2
Source: RefSeq, a predicted model, not a curated record
ACCUCUCUAUAUUUUCUUUGUUGAAUAUUCAAAAGGUUAAGUGAUAAGUAGUGAAGAUGGUUAGGAAAGUUGCUCUGCUGAGUGUUCUGGCAUGGCUCCUGGUGGUGGCAUCAAUUGUCAUCUGCUCAAAUGCAGCUGCAGGGACUCCUACUGAUAAGCUUAAGCUUGAUAACGUGGUUUAUCCUCAAGCAGGUUGUCGCUGCUGCAAUUUUGUCAGGAACAAACACGGGCUUCUCCAAUGUGGGAAGACGUGUUGUGUUGACGGCUGCUGUGGUUGAAAUGUGUUCACUCACUGCACACUGUGCAAGGGAAUAAUAAGCCGGAGAAAUUUCCUCAAGAAUGUCCCUUUUUUUGUUUUAAUGAAAUGAAGUCUUGAUCUAUAAAUAAGUUUUUCCUUAAAUGGUUCUCUCAUGUAAGGAAGUGCCUGUAAGAUCAUGAAUACAUAUAUGUACUACAAUUUCCUCAA